CAGUCGCCGCGGUAAGACAGAGGAUGCAAGCGUUAUCCGGAAUGAUUGAGCGUAAAGUGUCUAUAGGUGGCUUUUCAAGUCCGCCGUCAAAUCCCAGGGCUCAACCCUGGACAGGCGGUGGAAACUACCAAGCUGAGUACGGUAGGGGCAGAGGGAAUUUCCGGUGGAGCGGUGAAAUGCGUUGAGAUCGGAAAGAACACCAACGACGAAAGCACUCUGCUGGGCCGACACUGACACUGAGAGACGAAAGCUAGGGGAGCAAAUGGGAUUAGAUACCCGCGUAGUCCCUGUCUCUUAUACA
Molecule: ribosomal RNA, 301 nt
Filed under: uncultured bacterium
Lineage: Bacteria
Description: partial 16S ribosomal RNA
Rfam family: Bacterial small subunit ribosomal RNA
Source: RNAcentral